UACGUAGGGUGCAAGCGUUAAUCGGAAUUACUGGGCGUAAAGCGUGCGCCGGCGGCUUUGCAAGACAGAUGUGAAAUCCCCGGGCUCAACCCGGGAACUGCGUCCGAUACUGGCAGGCUUGAAUCCGGGAGAGGGAUGCGGAAUUCCAGGUGUAGCGGUGAAAUGCGUAGAUAUCUGGAGGAACACCGGUGGCGAAGGCGGCAUCCUGGACCGGCAUUGACGCUGAGGCGCGAAAGCCAGGGGAGCAAACGGG
Molecule: ribosomal RNA, 253 nt
Filed under: uncultured bacterium
Lineage: Bacteria
Description: partial 16S ribosomal RNA
Rfam family: Bacterial small subunit ribosomal RNA
Source: RNAcentral